This 277-nucleotide long non-coding RNA is filed under the name Phoenix dactylifera (date palm). Its description in RNAcentral is "long non-coding RNA (PDAC_LNC010591)". The record is from RNAcentral. Lineage: Eukaryota; Viridiplantae; Streptophyta; Magnoliopsida; Arecales; Arecaceae.
GUCCUAAUCGGAUUAGGACUUCGAAUUCAAAUUAGAGUCCUAAUUGGAUUAGGACUAGAAUUAAAUAAAUCCUAAUGGGAUUAGGACUUCUUAAGUCCCAAUUAAUUAUUAAUCUAAUGAAUCAAGAUGACUCCUAAUUAGAUUAGGAUUGAAGGGUUCAAUUGAGUCAUGGCUCAUCAAGUUCUAAUUGGAUUAGGACUUACCUAGAUUAAAACCCAAAUUGGUUCACCCUUGGUCCAAACCUAAUUAGAUUAGGACCUAACCAAGAGUGACCUUC